CCAAGGAGUCUAACAUGUGCGCGAGUCACUCGGUCUUGUUUAGGCCAGAGAGGCACAAUGAAAGUAAAGUUUGUUAAGUUACGAUCUCUAUGCAGUUAUCUCCUCAGUGAGUGACGGUAGAGCGCAGUAACGGCCCGCCAAUUUCGCCUAUUGACGAUCUGGCGGAGUUGUAGCGUACACGUUGGUACCCGAAAGAUGGUGAACUAUGCCUGGGCAAGACGAAGCCAGAGGAAACUCUGGUGGAGGUCUGUAGCGAUUCUGACGUGCAAAUCGAUCGUCAGACCUGGGUAUAGGGGCGAAAGACUAAUCGAACCAUC
This 317-nucleotide ribosomal RNA is filed under the name Eupelops cf. curtipilus SS-2010. Its description in RNAcentral is "eukaryotic LSU rRNA". It matches the Rfam family "Eukaryotic large subunit ribosomal RNA", at positions 666 to 944 of the family's 3401-position model. The record is from RNAcentral. Lineage: Eukaryota; Metazoa; Arthropoda; Arachnida; Sarcoptiformes; Phenopelopidae.